GACGAACGCUGGCGGCGUGCUUAACACAUGCAAGUCGAACGGUAAGGCCCUUCGGGGUACACGAGUGGCGAACGGGUGAGUAACACGUGGGUGAUCUGCCCUGCACUUCGGGAUAAGCCUGGGAAACUGGGUCGAAUACCGGAUAGGACCACUGCCUGCAUGGGUGGUGGUGGAAAGCUUUUGCGGUGUGGGAUGGGCCCGCGGCCUAUCAGCUUGUUGGUGGGGGGAUGGCCUACCAAGGCGACGACGGGUAGCCGGCCGGGGAGGGUGACCGGCCACACUGGGACUGAGAUACGGCCCAGACUCCUACGGGAGGCAGCAGUGGGGAAUAUUGCACAAUGGGCGCAAGCCUGAUGCAGCGACGCCGCGUGAGGGAUGACGGCCUUCGGGUUGUAAACCUCUUUCAGCACCGACGAAGCGCAAGUGACGGUAGGUGCAGAAGAAGGACCGGCCAACUACGUGCCAGCCGCCGCCGUAA
RNAcentral lists this ribosomal RNA (478 nucleotides) under uncultured bacterium. Its description in RNAcentral is "partial 16S ribosomal RNA". It matches the Rfam family "Bacterial small subunit ribosomal RNA", at positions 28 to 523 of the family's 1533-position model. The record is from RNAcentral.